UUGGUUUGUUACCGGUGGUCGGCUCUUUUGCUCGUGCAACGACUUCCACCUAACACGCCUGGUUGUUUGUCCGGUGUUGGCUGAAAAUGCCUGAACGAUUUGCGGGUUUCCUGUGUUGCGUACCUAACAUACGGUAUUGAUCUGGCUAAUCUAAUGCUUUUUUUCUUUCGUCGUAAUGCUUAUGACGACAGAUGAACCCUAAACCGGUCUCUUUGAACCACGUCAAUAAAGCUUUUGUUGAUGUAGUGGCGCAUUGAGCCUUGGUUGGUCUCUUUGAUGUAGUACCUGAUGUGGGCAUGGGUCUCAUGGGAUCCCAGUUAUGUCCCUGCUUGGUGUUUAUGCUCCCUUAAAUGACUGCUUGACACGCAUUGGCAAGCAAUUGCGUUGCGUGUCGGGCACCGUCUAAGAGGAAAGUUACCUGGU
RNAcentral lists this unclassified non-coding RNA (423 nucleotides) under Chromolaena pseudinsignis. Its description in RNAcentral is "partial contains external transcribed spacer and 18S ribosomal RNA". Lineage: Eukaryota; Viridiplantae; Streptophyta; Magnoliopsida; Asterales; Asteraceae. The record is from RNAcentral.